UACGUAGGGUGCGAGCGUUGUCCGGAAUUACUGGGCGUAAAGAGCUCGUAGGUGGUUUGUCGCGUUUGUUCGUGAAAACUCACAACUCAAUUGUGGGCGUGCGGGCGAUACGGGCAGACUGGAGUACUGCAGGGGAGACUGGAAUUCCUGGUGUAGCGGUGGAAUGCGCAGAUAUCAGGAGGAACACCGGUGGCGAAGGCGGGUCUCUGGGCAGUAACUGACGCUGAGGAGCGAAAGCGUGGGGAGCGAACAGG
RNAcentral lists this ribosomal RNA (254 nucleotides) under uncultured bacterium. Its description in RNAcentral is "partial 16S ribosomal RNA". It matches the Rfam family "Bacterial small subunit ribosomal RNA", at positions 524 to 776 of the family's 1533-position model. The record is from RNAcentral.